Arachis stenosperma is the source of this 3304-nucleotide long non-coding RNA. RefSeq lists it as uncharacterized. Lineage: Eukaryota; Viridiplantae; Streptophyta; Magnoliopsida; Fabales; Fabaceae. The transcript has 9 exons. The record is from RefSeq and is a predicted model, not a curated record.
UGCCAGUAUGUACAAAUCUAAAGCAUUUAGCAUGUUGAUAUAUACAAUAUAAUGAUCAUAUGCAAAUUUUUAGUGAGACAUGAAUUUCUCGGCGCGUAAAAUUUCACGUGCAAGCGCGUUACUGCUUUUCGCAUAAUUUAUGAUCCAUAUGGAUCGUAGCACUUCCUCCUCUUACCACUUCCAGCCAGUACUUACCACCAUAUUUGUCCCACCUUUCUCCCUUAGGAUUGGCCUUUGAGUUGGUUUUACUCCUUGAUUCAUGUUUCUCUUAUCCUUCUUUCAUUUUUUAUACACAAACACACCUCCCACACACGUGCACACAAGCUUCUUCCUCAUGGAGAAUCUGAAGGAGAGAAGAGGAAAAGCUGAACUAGAAGAAGAGAGAGGCUAGCUAUGCUUUGAGUUCACAGAAGACACUCACCAUCUUUGUAUGAAAAUUUGUAAGUUUCAGAGACCCAUUUAACAGGUAAAUAGGUUGACCCGAUGAAUUUAAUCCAUUUUGACGGUCCUACUUUUUGAAAUCUCUUCUCUCUCCAUCCCUCUCCUCUCUUUCUCUCUCCACUGCCUUACUUUUCGAAAUCUCUUCUCUCUCCAUCCCUCUCCUCUCUUUCUCUCUCCACUGCAACCACCUCUGGCCAACCUUUGCCAACGCCAACCAUCACCAAUCUCAUCCAAUGACUACGUGGACUCGGCUGGAACCCAUUUCAUUGCAUGAAAUAGAGUCGCUUCCAACGUUGUUGCCAUUGGUGUCCUUGCCACUGUUGCUUCUUAUGUCGCCGUAGCUACCUCCCUCUUCCAGCCUGCUAUUCAGUCACUGUCGCCGGCGGUACGUCGUCAAAGUUGCCACCACGCUGAAAAAGUCCUCCGCGCCGUUAGUGUCUCCAAGAUUUUUUUUGUUUGAAAGUCGUGUAGCUUUAAUCAUGGGCUGUUCAUGCUGAUAUAUACAUGGGCUGUUCGUAUAGUAUUAAGAACAGCGAAAGAAAGGAAAUGGGAAGAAGAAAGGGGGGCGGGAAGAGGGAGGCGGCGCGGUGGGUGUCACUGCCGCCAUCGCCGCUGCUGUUGACAGGAGGAGAGAGGGAGAUAUGAGAGAGCUGAACGGGAAGAGAGGGAAGGAGACCUCGCCGCCAUGCCCAGCCUGUUGCGUGCCCCGUCGCAUCGCCGCCCAGACCGCGUCCAACCCUCACCGCUAGCUGUGCCUCACCGCCGCCCAACUUGCCGUCGCGCCAGCUACCCAUGCCAGAGGAGAGAGAUCAGACAGAGAGAGAUGCAAAGAGGGAGAAGGACUCGUGUCGUUGCUGCUGUGCGUGCAGUUGCCGCCGAGGGAAGCCAGCGCCACCAGCGCGUCACCGUCGCCGAGCCUCAUUGUCGCCGCCGUCGUUGACGAGCCCUGCCACCUCCGUCUCGUGCUCCAUCGCCGCUGCUAGAGGUCCGUCACCGAUCUAAUCUGAGAGAGAGAGGAGAUGUGAACGGAAGAGAAAACGGGGAGCCACCUCCGCUGUUGUUAAACCACCAAAGCUUCUGGCUGAGCUUCUGCCGCCCAAAAUCCGCUGCCGUCGCCGGAAAAAGCGCUGAAGUCGCCGUCGCUGGAAUUCGUCGCCACCACCACCACCAUUAGAGAUGAAUCCAGUUGUUCUCUUGUUGCCGAAGUUUCGAUGUCGCCUUGAAUUUUCAGAGUUGUUUCUGUGUUUGAUUCCAUCAAAUUCGAAUCUGUUGUUGUUGCUGCGAGCGUAAUCGGGGUUGGUGAUGCUGCCAUCGUCCCGGUUGUGUUGGAAUCGCCACUACUGCUAUGAGUUUAGAUUAAGCGGGACUGUUGUGUUAAAUUACGCGAUUGCGACAUCGAGGAGACGGAUGAAAAAGCUCACGAAGGGUUGGUUUGCAUUUCGCUUAGUCGAUAAUGCUGUUUAGUUUUUAUCUAUUUACCCCUCGCCAUCAAUAUUAUAUUAUGCAAGAGGGAUAAGAGUUAUAUGAUUUGUAUGUAUAUAAUAUGUAUGAGUUACUUGAGUAAGAAGUUUCGUACAUGUAUAUGCUUGUUUUAUUUUAUUUAAAAGUAUUCUUUUUCCGAUUUUCAAAAAGAACAGUGAUACGAUUUCGAGUCAAAGGCUCCUAUUUUAUUAUUAAGUAUAUGAAGUCAUCAUAAUACUUCUUGCUAUCAGAGUAGCGCAGCCAGAAGCGUGACAUUCUGAUAGUGAAGGUGUUACAAUUUUCAUCCACUACAUGGCUAGGCAGCUUCAGCAGAUGCUUGAAGAUGUAUGUGAAAGGCAGGACUGCCUUACUUAGUGGCUCCGGCCGGACAUUAAGAAGGCCCUUUACGCCUAUUAGGAUAAUGAUGAGGGGUUCAAGCGUUGUUGAGCCACAAAUAGGGCCAACAGAGCAUCAGCCAAGUCGUUCAAGUAUAAUGGCAGGUCAGCGACUUUCAUGAAGACAAAGUUUAGGCUGUUUAAGUUGUUGCAAAGUGAGGUAACGAUGCCAAAGACCUUGAAGUUUACUCACAUGUUGAAGGAGAGCAAGGAGAGAUUUGCCAAUUAGUGGUAUGCAGAUUAUUAUGAAUCACACAUGCAGAACUUGGAGGCCACAAUCCAACAAUCUCAGCAGAGUGGGAAGGAUGUCAACAACCUUUCUGCUUUCAUCAUCGAUCCUGAUGCGGUAUGACGCCAUACCUUAUUCGAGCCGUACAAGAAACGUGAUGGGAUGGGUUCGUUCUUAUUCUUCACUAGCAACCUACAUAUCUCCACCUUGAGAGCUUUAUUCACCACAGUCACCAGUCCCGCAAAUCCCGAGGACGUCGAUUUGUGGGAGCGAAAGCAGGUUCACAGCCUCACCCAGAGCCUUUAAGACUAAGGUCACCAAUUGCAUCUAGCUAACGAGAGGCAGAAUGAGCUUCUUGCAUGUAUGGUAGAGAGGGAUGCUCACGAUGCAGAGGCAGAGUCCAUGUGGUAAGAGUUUAGGUAGGAGCUAGAGCAGAUCCAACGGAUACAGCACCAAAUGACAAUAUACUAUGGCCAGAUGAGAUCUGGUGGCAGCGCUGCUGCUGUAAGUGGCUCCUCCUUCUCAGCACAGGCACCAAGAGAAGCAUCAACAUGACCACCUAGACCGCUGCCUUAGCAGGACAGGGGGAUAUCGAUGGCAAUGAUUACCAGGACCUAUAAAGACUAGGAUUUUCUUUUGCUUUGUUUGACAAUACUGGUAGUUUAUCUUUUUUACUUUUUCUUCUGGACACUUGUUAUUUCAUAUUAUAGUUGACUAAUUUUAUUAAAAAUACUACUUGAUUUUCACUAAUUGAAUUUGACUAUUAAGUCUUGACAUA